UUAUAACUUGAAACAAGAGGCUGUCACAACGACAGCAAACCGGAUUUAUUAAUAUUUAUUUGUGUCCUGGCAAUAUCACAAGAACCAUUACUGAUGAAUGGUGAAAGUGAAAAUCGUCAAUAUCAAAUUUGACCUCCAUUUUGUCAUCAGUAUCAACUUCUUAACAUUUGAAAAGCUUAGAUUGAAUGGUUCAUGAGUAAAUGCAACAACGUGAAUGGAAACGCCAUUUCACAAUCUUUCAAGAACCAUAAC
Molecule: long non-coding RNA, 252 nt
Filed under: Mytilus galloprovincialis (Mediterranean mussel)
Lineage: Eukaryota; Metazoa; Mollusca; Bivalvia; Mytilida; Mytilidae
Source: RNAcentral